Long non-coding RNA from Harpia harpyja (harpy eagle), 1587 nucleotides. RefSeq lists it as uncharacterized. NCBI's taxonomy places the organism in Eukaryota, Metazoa, Chordata, Aves, Accipitriformes, Accipitridae. The record is from RefSeq and is a predicted model, not a curated record. The transcript has 7 exons.
GAGGAGGCAGUGUCAGCAGGAACAUCCAGAACCUAACACGAUGGCAGUCUGGAAGAAUGCUGCAGAGGAGGAAGGAUGCACGGAUGAGCAAAUGGAUUUCUUGCCUCCAUCACUAGCAAGAGAAUGUGAAAUUGCACCCAUUGGAGCCAGAGACAACGGAUGAGCAAGAACUGCACCGCUUGCUUACAGGGAAUAUGCAGCUGACUCCAUCCUGCCAUUCAGAAGGUGGAAAAAUCCUCCUGUUGAACAAGGUGGAGAUUGAGGGCCUCACAUAUCACCUAAUCUACCUCGCUAGGCUCGCCAGCAUGACAGCAAAUUGUAUUUCUGCUCCAAGUAGUAUAGAAGGUGACUGCCAGUGAGAUCUGCUCUCUACAGACCUACAGCAAUUCUUCCAGAGGCCUCCUCUCCAAAUGCAGAAUAAUUUUCUAAGGGAUUGAUGGCGAUUGCCAAAACCUUUCUGCCCUGAAGCCAGCAACUGGAAACGUUUCCGUUUCUCCUCUGGAUCUGACCCGAAGUCCCGGGACCCGAUGCCAUUCUGAAGAUUUAUUAGUGAAUCCUUCAUCUGCAAGACAAGAAAUUUCUCCACUGUGAUGCUACCCUAUAGGUGAGAGCGCUUCAGGAUUUCCUUCCUCAUUGGUGCCUCCUCCGUCCAUGUAAAGUAUCAAUACCAGAAUCAUCUGGUUUUUGGGAACAGCGUGUCAGGGCUUGGAUGUACAAAUGGGGACUGAGGAGACAGGAGCCCAUGAGAGACCAUCCCCCAAGAUAACAGAGAAGGGGCGAGCAGAAUGAGGUACAGGGUGAGCGGCUCUCUCCAUAGGGGAGAGCGGCUUUCAUUUAUGAACCCUGUUCCUAGCAGCCUGGUGUACAAGCAGCUCUUCAGGCAGCGGAUACCAAAACCCCUGGCUUUGUGCUAUUAAGGGCCCACGCAGAGCAUGUCCCCCGCUUCAUCCAGGCAAGCUAUGUAUGAAUCCAGGGUUGAGAAUUCUAUCCUUGACAUGUGCAGACCCCUGUGAGGUGACGGAGAAGCUGCGGUAUCCUGCAAAUAACCCUUGGGACCUGCUGCCCACUGCUAAGCCAGAAGACGGAUCUAGAGGGAGGUAGUAGUGGAGGUGAUGCACCUGAGGGACUACAGUGGAACCAGCAACUAGCUGGGUUGCUGCUGCAAACCUCUGCAGUCUUCAUCCUCCCAGGAAAAGGAAAUGCAGAAAGGAGCUCAGUUUGAAAAGUAACCUCAGUCUGCAAAUCUCAGCUUCUUCCCACCUGACUGAAAAAUGGAAAUCAUCUCUAAACGGUCCAGCUUCUUUCUGAGAUGGUAUCUCUCAUCAAAAUCGCCACCCAGGACCAGACCUGAAUAGGUUUUCCCAGACCAGAGGAAAGAAGUGACAGACUUCUCACAUACGCUGAGCCCUGUUGUGAUAGCACAGUAACUCCCAGAGAGCUUUGCGUGGUCAUCUUUCAUGAUAAGAGCUAGUUUGUUGGCAGAUUACAUUAAAUGACUUAUUUUAAAUUAAAGGACCCCCACAGUUCCUAGAAACCUCUAAACUGAGUCCCUGAAAUAAAAAAGACACUCUCUACUUGUUGGAUUUC